AACGAACGCUGGCGGCAGGCUUAACACAUGCAAGUCGAGCGGACCUUUCGGGGUCAGCGGCGGACGGGUGAGUAACGCGUGGGAACGUGCCUUCCGGUUCGGAAUAACCCUGGGAAACUAGGGCUAAUACCGGAUACGCCCUUAUGGGGAAAGGUUUACUGCCGGAAGAUCGGCCCGCGUCUGAUUAGCUAGUUGGUGGGGUAACGGCCUACCAAGGCGACGAUCAGUAGCUGGUCUGAGAGGAUGAUCAGCCACACUGGGACUGAGACACGGCCCAGACUCCUACGGGAGGCAGCAGUGGGGAAUAUUGGACAAUGGGCGCAAGCCUGAUCCAGCCAUGCCGCGUGAGUGAUGAAGGCCUUAGGGUUGUAAAGCUCUUUUAUCCGGGACGAUAAUGACGGUACCGGAGGAAUAAGCCCCGGCUAACUUCGUGCCAGCCGCCGCAGUAA
RNAcentral lists this ribosomal RNA (449 nucleotides) under uncultured bacterium. RNAcentral describes it as "partial 16S ribosomal RNA". It matches the Rfam family "Bacterial small subunit ribosomal RNA", at positions 29 to 523 of the family's 1533-position model. The record is from RNAcentral.